Molecule: ribosomal RNA, 253 nt
Filed under: uncultured bacterium
Lineage: Bacteria
Description: partial 16S ribosomal RNA
Rfam family: Bacterial small subunit ribosomal RNA
Source: RNAcentral
UACAGAGGGUGCAAGCGUUGUUCGGAAUCAUUGGGCGUAAAGGGCGCGUAGGCGGCCUGCUAAGUCGAACGUGAAAUCCCUGGGCUCAACCCAGGAACUGCGUCCGAUACUGGUUGGCUUGAAUCCGGGAGAGGGAUGUGGAAUUCCAGGUGUAGCGGUGAAAUGCGUAGAUAUCUGGAGGAACACCGGUGGCGAAGGCGACAUCCUGGACCGGUAUUGACGCUGAGACGCGAAAGCGUGGGGAGCAAACAGG